Molecule: long non-coding RNA, 3941 nt
Filed under: Sus scrofa (pig)
Lineage: Eukaryota; Metazoa; Chordata; Mammalia; Artiodactyla; Suidae
Description: lncRNA (ENSSSCG00035015406.1)
Source: RNAcentral
UCCCAGGCUAGGGGUGGAAUCGAGCUGCAGCUGCCAGCCUAUGCCGCAGCCACAACAACACAGGAUCAGAGCCAUGUCUAUGACUUACACCGAAGCUCACAGCAAUGCCAGAGUGAGCAGGGGCCAGGGAUCAAACCCGCGUCCUCAUGGAUACUAGUCAGUUUCAUUACUGAUGAGCCACAACAGGAACUCCUGUGGCAUGGUUUCAAUCCCUAGCCAGGAAACUCACACAUGGAGUGUAGCCAAAACAAACAAACAAACAAACAAAAACAGAAAAACUGGAGAAACCCAAAUAAGGUUUAGUUAACAGUAUUGUGCCAAUGUCAAUUUCCUGGUUUUGAUAACUCUGCCGUGGUGAUAGAAGAGGCUAAUAUCUUUGGGGGGACUGGGUGACAGGUACACUGGUUACACUAAUCUUGUGUACGAUCAAUGGUGGGACUACGUUCACAUUUCUAUAUGAGACUAAAAUUAUUUCAGGAGUUCCCAAUGUGGCACCGUGGGUUAAGAAUCUGACUGCAGCAGCUCGGAUCCCACUCGCAGCUCAGAUUCAGUGUCUACCUGGGAAACUUGCAUGUGCCAUGGGUGCAGUCAUAAGAAUAAAUAAAUUCAAUAAAUGAAUAAAUAAAAUUAUUUCAAAGCUGAACAUUUUUAAAGGUGUGGGCUGAGGAGAUGCAUUUAGCCACAGUGCUGAGGGUGUAAACUGAAGAAAGAAAGAAAGAAAGAAGGAAAGAAGGAAGGAAGGAAGGAAGGAAGGAAGGAAAGAAAGAAAGAAAGAAAGAAAGAAAGAAAGAAAGAAAGAAAGAAAGAAAGAAAGAAAGAAAGAAAGAAAGAAAGAAAGAAAGGCAAAGAAAGAAACUAAUGAACUAAACCUCCAUGAAUAGGGGGAAAGUCAAUGUGGAAUGCCUAUACCAUUUAACGCUGUGCAAGCAUUAAAAAAAUAAAGCAGCUGAACACAAAGCUAUCUGCAGUGCAGCUUUAAGUACAAAAUCGGUCACAAAAUAACAUGGAUUUGAGUAGGAAGAUCCUAUUUGCCUAAAAUCUUAUUUAUGUGUACACACUGUACAUGGUUGUAUAAGCAUGGAGCAUGUCUGAAAUGAUGCACCCUAACCCGUUCACAGUGAUUGCUUCUGAAAUGGGAAGUUCUUAGUCCCGGUUGGUAAGUCAGUUUCACUUUGAAAUACAUUACAGUGAAAAUGCGUCGCUUUAACAUAGGAACAACAGACCUUAGAAACAUAAAAGAAAAAAAAAAUCCCUACUGGCUGCCUCCAUCACCCAUCACUGGACCCUUGCCCAUGAGAGACUCCAACAUCCUGUUUGCAGCCAUGGACCUGCAGAGCUUCCUGUGGGAGGAAUUGGACACGUGACUCGCUUCGAAAAUGGAACGUGAGCAGAUGAGACUUGGGCAAGGUCUGAGCACAAGUUUUGCGGAUUGUUUUUGUUUUUGUUUAGGGCCACACACAAGGCAUAUGGAGGUUCCCAGGUUAGGGGCUGAAUCAGAGCUGUGGCCGCUGGCCUAUGCCACAACCAUAGCAAAGCAGGAUCCAAGUGGUGCCUGUGACCUACACCACAGCUCAAGGCAAUGCCGGAUCCUUAACCUACUGAGCGAGGCCAGGGAUCGAAUCUGCAUCCUGAUGGGUAUGAGUCAGAUUCGUUUCCACUGAGCCACCACAGGAACUCCUGAAUAGAAGUUUCAAGUCACUGUCUGGUUCCACCAGCUCUGUGGCUUUUUUUUCUUCGUGUGUCCUGGGCAGCAGCUGCUCCUUCAGCCUGGAACCCAAAACGAAGACACAUGUAGCGGCCACAGCCAACUGGCAAAUGCCAUGUAACAGGGGGGUGAGAAAUAAACCAUCAUGCAGGAAGCCACUGAGAUGUGGGGAUGCUUGUUACACAGCCUUACCUCAUGAAAGCUAAUAGAUGAGAUAAAGGCACCCCCCCCCAAAAAAAAUGAGGGAACUGAUAAGGAGCUGGUGUGUGUUGAUUGAGGGUGUAUUAUGUGAAGAACUUAUACUUGAGGUAAGAGGCACAAGGUUGGGGGGUUAGGGGGAAGCAGAGGGAAUGUAAGAAACAUGCACACUGUAGGGGAUCGGAACCUGCCAUCCCAAAAUACGCUUCUUUCAUAUAAAGAUUAUUUUGAGUUGGAGGCAAGUGAGAAUCAGCAGAUGUAGAAAGAUGCUUUAUCUGACAAAACUUCCAGAAAAUGGGGAUGGCCAUAAAUCCCCACUCCUGGGGAAGCUUUAUGGCCAUGGAGAAAAAGGAAAGUUGGCUCUGAAAUGGACCUGCACAAACAACCUGGACUUCAUUACCUGCCCUUGGAAAGCGAAAACCCUUUUCAUGUGUCUUUUUUUUUUUUUUUCCUUUCUUUUUAGGGCUGCACCUGCGGCAUAUGGAGGUUCCCAGGCUAGGGGUCCAUUCGGAGCUGGAGCUGCUGGCCUACACCAUAGCCACAGCAACACUAGAUCAAGCUGCAUCUUCAACCUACACCGCAACUUGCAGCAACAGCAGAUCCUUAACCCACUGAGCGAGGCUAGGGGUCAAACCCACAUCCUCAUGGAUGCUAGUUAGGUUCUUAUCCCACUGAGCCACAACAGGAACUCCCCUUUUCCAAUGUCUUGUCACUUCUCUACAAACGUGUUGUUCUUGGCAAAGGUGCUCGGGAAGCCCAAGUUCUAACCACCCCUUUGAGUUACUCAUCCCGAGGCUUCUCCAGAGUGAGGCACUGCACCCUUUAUAAACUGCUCUUUCUCUUGUUGGUCUAAUUGAACAAGGCCCUGCUUGGAGAACCUGGGAGGGUGGAAGGAAAAGGUUUUUUCCGGCCCUACAAGAUCAUCUACUUGGAAGAUGAUGCUCGCACAGAGAGAUGCCCACACACUGGCUUGGGGCCAGGGCAGUGAGGACAGCCUGCCACUGGGGAGGGGAGGAGGCCCAUCGGGGUAGGAGGGAGAUUCUGGAGAUGGGCCAAGUUUCAGGUUCAGCAUCUAAAGCUCACACAUAGUAACAGGGCUGACUGGGGCAUUCUAAUAAAGCAUGAAAGCCAUCAGCAGCCGUAUACUCACCCUCUCCUUCAAACCAGAGGUUGCAAGAAAACACCCACCACCUAGAGAUCCCGUGUGGUGCCUUUUGUUGCUGGGACAUGUACUCUCCAUACCGGGUUCUGUGUCAACUGGAAAUGAACUGUAUUUCCAGAAACCAGCGGUUUCGCAUUGGAACAAAGCCCAUCUUGGUGCAAAAUGCAUUCCCUUAAAGGAAACAAAGGGCCAUGAGCUAGAAGAAGGUAUAAAUACCAAGUUUGCCCAUCGCCUCUUCUUGCGGCGCGUUACCACGGCUCACUCAUAAUCUGCUUCGGACACACAGGUCACUUGCAAUUCUCUUCUCCAAAUCUGGACCUUUCUGUUUAAAAUCUUGCCCCCUCCCCUUUUCGAAAAUGACACAAGGAAGUCAUGACUAGCUUUCCUGGGUAAAAGAUGCAGACCCAUAAGUACGUCUAGCAAAAUGUGCAAGUCCCUUGACCAGGAGCCUCUGCCCUCUCCUGGGCGACACACACACACUUGCCAGCUCUUUGCUGUGAGCAUUUGCUCACCUAGGGGCACACAUGCAUUCACACAGCCUUUGUUUUUUGCUGUUUGUUUGUUUGUUGUCCUUUUAGGGCUGCACUCACAGCAUAUGGAAGUUCCCAGGCUAGGGGUCGAAUCAGAGCUGUAGCCGCCAUCCUACGCCACAGGCACAGCAAUGUGGGAUCUGAGCCACAUCUGUGACCCACACCACAGCUCACAGCAAUGCCUGAUCCUUAACCCACAGUGGGAGGCCAGGAAUCAAACCCAUGUCCUCAUGGAUACUGGGGGCUGGGGGGUUGGUUCCCGCUGAGCUGGGACAGACACUCCCACACAGCCUUUGUUUGCUUCCCUCCCCGCCUUUCCCUUCCUCGACACCACCCCCCAAAGAGG